This is a long non-coding RNA of Vidua chalybeata, 1029 nucleotides long. RefSeq lists it as uncharacterized. The transcript has 3 exons. The record is from RefSeq and is a predicted model, not a curated record. Lineage: Eukaryota; Metazoa; Chordata; Aves; Passeriformes; Viduidae.
AGGACAUUCAUGUCCCCUCUUGGCCAGUCUGGGGUCACGUCUGUGACCCCAUGGCCAGGUUCCCAAACUGCUCCCAAAUGUCUCAAGCCUUAGGGACUGGCAUUUUGCUGGCAGAAGGGAAGUUUCCUGCAGGAGUUGGAGAUUGUGCCCCAUGGCUGCUCAGCACGUGCCGCAAAGCCUGAAGGCACCAAGUGACCGGGUCGUGUUGUGGCCAGCACAGGAGCUAAAUCUACCUCUGAUCAUCAAAGAGUCUGGGCAAUGCUGAUGUCUUUUUCUUCUCCAGCCAGUUUCUGUCUGUGGAAGCACAUCUGUGACCCACAUUCUGCUUUCAAAAUCAGCAAAACAGAGGUUUCCAGCUGGUUUCCUUAAUCUCCUACUUUUGUUCAGAUUUUAAAAUUGUCUUGUGUUUCCUAGCCUCAAGUUCCUAACUAGGCUGGUCAGUGGAGUGCAGCACAAAGGGCAAGUCACCACCCAGUGAUGGGGACCAUCUUUGAACAGCCUUCAAACUUCAGGGGAAAUGGAGCAGACAGAGCAUCCACACGAGCACUAAUUUUCUCUGUGCAUCUCCAAACAGGAACAGGCCCUGCAAGAUGUGUAGGCAGAGACAGUUUGCAAGUACACAGACACAAAAAAGCCAGAAUCUAUCUCAAGUUCUUCUCUUCCUGCUUCCAAGUACUUUGAAAGAUCAUUUGAUAAUGCCAGGGCUGUGAAACUACCGUGAAAAUGUAAAAUAUUUUAGGCCUGCAUUCAACCCAUCCAUCUUCACACAUAUCAGAGGUGUCAGGGCUAGGAAGCUUGUUGCCUUUGGCUCCCUCCAUCAGGAGCCAAGGGGGAGAGAGAUGCCUCUGAAGAGGAAUACAGACCUCACUGCUCAGUGGAGAAAGAGAUGCAAUUGUGUUUGUUGCCCUAGCACAGCUAACCACAGCACUGACAUCUCAAGUCUGUGCCAAAUACCAAGCCCAAACUGGACAACAUUUUGGUUAUUUCAUCUUCAAGAAUUGGUCUGGCAGUGCCUUACAGAAAAACAGC